This 253-nucleotide ribosomal RNA is filed under the name uncultured bacterium. RNAcentral's name for it is "partial 16S ribosomal RNA". It matches the Rfam family "Bacterial small subunit ribosomal RNA", at positions 524 to 776 of the family's 1533-position model. The record is from RNAcentral.
UACAGAGGUCUCAAGCGUUGUUCGGAUUCAUUGGGCGUAAAGGGUGCGUAGGCGGUCCGAUAAGUCGGCUGUGAAAGUCAGGGGCUCAACCCUUGAAAGCCGGCCGAUACUGUCGGACUAGAGUCCGGAAGAGGCAAGUGGAAUUCCCGGUGUAGCGGUGAAAUGCGCAGAUAUCGGGAGGAACACCAAUGGCGAAGGCAGCUUGCUGGGACGGUACUGACGCUGAGGCGCGAAAGCGUGGGGAGCAAACAGG